Molecule: small nuclear RNA, 119 nt
Filed under: Thalictrum thalictroides
Lineage: Eukaryota; Viridiplantae; Streptophyta; Magnoliopsida; Ranunculales; Ranunculaceae
Description: U5 spliceosomal RNA
Rfam family: U5 spliceosomal RNA
About the family: U5 RNA is a component of both types of known spliceosome.
Source: Rfam by way of RNAcentral
AGCCAUGUAGUGAACACAAAGCGAACUAUUCUUUCGCCUUUUACUAAAGAAUACCGUGUGUUCUCUACAUUAAAUGGCAUACACCAAUUUUUAGAGGGUUUUCCACUCUAGUGGAAGAU